Molecule: ribosomal RNA, 200 nt
Filed under: uncultured bacterium
Lineage: Bacteria
Description: partial 16S ribosomal RNA
Rfam family: Bacterial small subunit ribosomal RNA
Source: RNAcentral
GUAGUCUGCAACUCGACUACAUGAAGCUGGAAUCGCUAGUAAUCGCGAAUCAGAAUGUCGCGGUGAAUACGUUCCCGGGUCUUGUACACACCGCCCGUCACACCAUGGGAGUCGGGAAUGCCCGAAGUCAGUGACCCAACCGGAAGGAGGGAGCUGCCGAAGGCAGGCUCGAUAACUGGGUGAAGUCGUAACAAGGUAAC